This 69-nucleotide transfer RNA is filed under the name Podarcis lilfordi (Lilford's wall lizard). RNAcentral describes it as "tRNA.Lys". It matches the Rfam family "tRNA". From Rfam's summary of the family: Transfer RNA (tRNA) molecules are approximately 80 nucleotides in length. The record is from RNAcentral. Lineage: Eukaryota; Metazoa; Chordata; Lepidosauria; Squamata; Lacertidae.
GAAUAGCUCAGUCGAUAGAGCAUGAGACUCUUAAUUUCAGGGUUGUGGGUUUGAGCCCCACGUUGGGUA